RNAcentral lists this small RNA (28 nucleotides) under Bombyx mori (domestic silkworm). Its description in RNAcentral is "ovarian small RNA-34874". Lineage: Eukaryota; Metazoa; Arthropoda; Insecta; Lepidoptera; Bombycidae. The record is from RNAcentral.
UGGCGCAAGAGAAUGGGCUGUCCCUCGG